GAUGAAUGCUGGCGGCGUGCCUAAUACAUGCAAGUCGAGCGAACAGAUGAGGAGCUUGCUCCUCUGACGUUAGCGGCGGACGGGUGAGUAACACGUGGAUAACCUACCUAUAAGACUGGGAUAACUUCGGGAAACCGGAGCUAAUACCGGAUAAUAUAUUGAACCGCAUGGUUCAAUAGUGAAAGACGGUUUUGCUGUCACUUAUAGAUGGAUCCGCGCCGCAUUAGCUAGUUGGUAAGGUAACGGCUUACCAAGGCGACGAUGCGUAGCCGACCUGAGAGGGUGAUCGGCCACACUGGAACUGAGACACGGUCCAGACUCCUACGGGAGGCAGCAGUAGGGAAUCUUCCGCAAUGGGCGAAAGCCUGACGGAGCAACGCCGCGUGAGUGAUGAAGGUCUUCGGAUCGUAAAACUCUGUUAUUAGGGAAGAACAAAUGUGUAAGUAACUAUGCACGUCUUGACGGUACCUAAUCAGAAAGCCACGGCUAACUACGUG
RNAcentral lists this ribosomal RNA (497 nucleotides) under uncultured bacterium. RNAcentral describes it as "partial 16S ribosomal RNA". It matches the Rfam family "Bacterial small subunit ribosomal RNA", at positions 28 to 507 of the family's 1533-position model. The record is from RNAcentral.